AUGGACUUUGUUUUAGGUUUACCUCGAACAAAGAAGGGGAGGUAUAGCAUAUUUGUUGUCGUGGAUAGAUUUUCAAAAAUGGCACACUUUAUACCAUGUCAUAAAAGUGAUGGUGCUGCUAAUGUUGCUGAUUUGUUCUUUCGUGAAAUUAUUUGCUUGCAUGGUAUGCCAAAUACUAUUGUUUCAUAUCGUGAUACUAAGUUUCUUAGCCACUUUUGGAGAUGUUUAUGGGCUAAGUUGGGGACUAAACUACUUUUUAGUACUAAAUGUCAUCCCCAAACUGAUGGACAAACUGAAGUAGUCAAUAGAACAUUGUCUACUAUGCUUAGGGUUGUUUUGAAGAAUAACAAGAAAAUGUGG
Molecule: ribosomal RNA, 360 nt
Filed under: Triticum aestivum (bread wheat)
Lineage: Eukaryota; Viridiplantae; Streptophyta; Magnoliopsida; Poales; Poaceae
Description: partial small subunit ribosomal RNA
Source: RNAcentral